RNAcentral lists this long non-coding RNA (2412 nucleotides) under Sorghum bicolor (sorghum). Its description in RNAcentral is "long non-coding RNA (SBIC_LNC013266)". The record is from RNAcentral. Lineage: Eukaryota; Viridiplantae; Streptophyta; Magnoliopsida; Poales; Poaceae.
GUGACUUACUGUAUAGCAAAGAUCGGAAUCGUAGAGAUCGUAGAUCCGUUGCUUUUUCGACAGCUCAUGCUUAUCGCUAGAUACAUAUAUAUACAGUGUGAUUGAACAAGACUCGAGCUGUUUGUUUUUUUCUUGUUUUUGAUUUGAAACAAGGCUGGAGCUAUUUUGUACGCAGACGCCAUACCCUCAAGAGGAGCAUCCGCUUUCAGGCGUCCAGCACCAUCCCAUCACCGCGCAAAAUCGACGGACAGUUCAGGUUCCGUGAACAAGUUUCUCAACAACUCGCUCUUAGAGUCAAAGAGGCAGGUGGGAAAAUCAUGAGAGCCAGUGUUUAGGGUCUGCAGCGGCAGCGCCACUGCCUAAGCCUGUUAGCUUAAGCUUACCUGCUUUAAUUAUGGCUCUUCAGACAAGCAAACAUGUUUAUGUUAAUUUUAACUAUACGCCGAAAACUUCACCAGCUCAUCUAUCAUCAGUUCAUCACUCAUCAGGCUAUUAGCGCUUCUCUCUGUUAGCUAUUUGGUGUGGUUCUAUCUCGAGUGAUGUCUAAAUUGAUGCCAGAGCCUAAAGAGAAGAAGUUCUAGCUUGUUCACUACUUAGUUAUUUACUAUGUGUAAACUCGAAACCCCUAACAGUAACAGGACCACAGAUGUGCUGCUUUUUGUUAAUGACAACUCAUUGUUUCUCAUGAAGGUGGUUGAUGGUUUCUUUCCAAUGGAGAUGGUUGAAGAAAAGCUAAGAGACCUAUCUACGAGCUGCAUUUAAGAGUGCCAAGAAAAACGCCUUAUUAAUCUAACCUAACCUGGUGAAGUGACGUAAUCGUGCAAAGAAAUGACACUCACAAGCCAAUACAUCAUCUUAAUGACACGGAACAAACACAUAAUCAAAGAAUCAAAACUACCAACCCAAAAAACCUGAAUGACAUUUCAAAAAAUAGAACACAACAUGAAUUAAUAUAGGAAAAAUAAACUUCAAACAACAUUUACACCUUGCCAAUUAGUGAGAUCCAAGUAGUUGGACACAACUAUACAAGAAAUGACUAAUGAUUGAAAAACAACUAGAUCUAAAACUAUAUGAGGAACAAAACAGAUAGAAAGUGAAAAUUCAAAGAAUACCUAAAGGCAGGAAGACAACAUUUCAGAACAUGCAAGGCUUCAAACCAAAUGUAAAGGAUACACUAUGUCAGCAAAAAGAAGAGAGAGGAUGAUUUAGAAGUAGAGUAGUACCUCAGAUUCUGAAAAAUCACCGAUGACAUAGAAAGACCGUCAACAACCCACCUCUCUUGGCCUCUACCUGAACAUCUCCACAACACAAAUAGCGGCACGGGAUAGAAAACCUGUGAGAACAACAUUGGAUCAGAACAAUAGCAUGCAGAUGUACAACAUCUAAUAAAAAAAUGAAUGAAAUACUCAAUAAUGAAACCAAAUCAAUAAAAAAACGACUGUGCCUCCGCCUCGACCUCCACAUACCAUAAAAACAAAAAAAACAUAAAAAAGGAAAAUUUUUAUUAAUUGAAGCCUAAUAGUCACCCGAGUAAUCAUACUGAACAAAACAGACAAAAAAAUAUAAAACAAAAUUCUCAGCCCAUCACAAGAACCAAGAAAAUUAACAAAAUACAGAAAACAAAAUCUUUGUAUCGAAUGAAAAAACCAAAAACUUUCUGAGGCCAUUGGAUGAACCAAACAAAAUAAACAAAAUAGAAAAACAGAAAUUUUCUAUGAAUUUCAAAUACCAAAAACAAUAUGAGAGCACGGCAUGUAGUAUAUAUUUUUUGUGUUUCAGCUCCAGCUUCAGCGAAGUGCUGCUGCUCAAGGUCCUAAAUACUAUUGACUUUGGCUUGCAGGAUUUUCUCACUUCUUUUUUUGGUGAGCAGAGAGAGAUCUUUUCUUAGCUAGACACGGGAAAUUUACAAUCGGCUAAAAGGAGGUUCCAAGCACACGCAUGUGCUUGGCCCAACCAUGACGCAAGUACUUACAUCGACUAGCUAACAAAGCUUAGCGUUAGCUACUUGAUUACAUUCAGUCUUUUGGGAUAAACACACUAACACAUUUGCUAGUAACAACAGAAACACUUAAUUUUAUCAUAAUAUGAGGUCAUCUUAGGUCACCACAUAUUCACGAAAGGAAAAUGACAGGCAUCAUCUAUUCACCUAGGUUUCUACUGAUCCAACAUCAAAAGUAUAAGGCACCAAAUUUAACGUGGAAAACCCCCAAAUUGAGAUAAAAACCACAGGACAAAGCCAGCCAAAUCUUCUUGAGAUAAAUACGCGCGCGGCACUCGGUUUUGGCAACUGGAGAUUUUUGGCAAACAUGUUUAGCAAACUGUUGGAGAGGGUCUUUUUCAUUGAUUUGCCAAAAUUUGUGGGAUGGCAAGUGAUUUAGCAAAUUGUUGGAGAUGCUCUUAAUUGUUGGGGUG